UAGUCGGAGGUGUGUCUCGGACGGUUGGUUCGCCGCUUGCCGGUGCUCAACUGGCCGGUCCGGACGUCCUGCCGGUGGGGCUGUAAAAGGCUCCGUUAUCCUUCUUUGGUCCUCUUCAUUGAGUGCCUUGGUGGGCCGGCACGUUUACUUUGAACAAAUUAGAGUGCUCAAAGCAGGCCGUUGGUCGCCUGAAUACUGUGUGCAUGGAAUAAUAGAAUAGGACCUCGGUUCCAUUUUGUUGGUUUUCAGAACUCGAGGUAAUGAUUAAUAGGGACGGACGGGGGCAUUCGUAUUGCGACGUUAGAGGUGAAAUUCUUGGAUCGUCGCAAGACGAACCGAUGCGAAAGCAUUUGCCAAGAACGUUUUCGUUGAUCAAGAACGAAAGUUAGAGGUUCGAAGGCGAUCAGAUACCGCCCUAGUUCUAACCAUAAACGAUGCCAGCUAGCCAUCCGCCGAAGUUCCUUAUAUGACUCGGCGGGCAGCUUCCGGGAAACCAAAGCUCUUGGGUUCCGGGGG
RNAcentral lists this ribosomal RNA (516 nucleotides) under Sympetrum janeae. RNAcentral's name for it is "SSU rRNA". It matches the Rfam family "Eukaryotic small subunit ribosomal RNA", at positions 631 to 1120 of the family's 1831-position model. The record is from RNAcentral. Lineage: Eukaryota; Metazoa; Arthropoda; Insecta; Odonata; Libellulidae.